CAUGAGUCAAAGUUGUUUAAUGGUGCAUUCCCCAUGCAACCCCCAAUCAUCAGAAUUAUUCCCUGAAAUUACCUUUCACCGUAACAUUGGUCCAUGGCUCACAUUUUGUGAAGCACUACUAAGCCAAAGUCUGAUAACAUGGAAAAAUAAGAAGAAAAAGUAUAGAUUGGAUGGUUUCCUGUUGAUGGCAGAAUGAAGCGGUGACUCAUUCACCUUCCUGCCAAAGCCCUGUAUGGUCUGACCCGCAUGGCAUUUAUGCCUUUCUCCCAGCGCCCAUGCACCCUAGCCAUUAUCUCAAACUCUGUGCUCAUCCCUGUAUCUGGAAUUUCCUCCCCCCAGCUCUGCCUACCAAGUCUUAUUCAGGAUCACCCAGCAAAGGCAUCAUUUCUUCAAGUCAGCCCAACCAGCCAUGUGAGCCUACCCGGCUAUCGGCUAUCACAGACGGGGAAGCAUUCCUCCUCAGCUUUCCUGUGAGGGGAGUGUGCGUGGUGGAAGAAUCACAGGUUCAAAAGUCAGAGAGACCUGGGUUUGUGGUUAUGACUCAGUGUCUGCCAGGAGGGAGCCCUCACUGGGGCUCCGUCUUCUCCUCUGUGAGCCAGGUUCUCAUGGCUACUCCGAAAGGCCAAUCACCAGGGCAUGGAAUAGAC
Long non-coding RNA from Myotis davidii, 647 nucleotides. RefSeq lists it as uncharacterized. The record is from RefSeq and is a predicted model, not a curated record. The transcript is spliced from 3 exons. NCBI's taxonomy places the organism in Eukaryota, Metazoa, Chordata, Mammalia, Chiroptera, Vespertilionidae.